Molecule: non-coding RNA, 8342 nt
Organism: Chiloscyllium plagiosum (whitespotted bambooshark)
Lineage: Eukaryota; Metazoa; Chordata; Chondrichthyes; Orectolobiformes; Hemiscylliidae
Source: RefSeq, a predicted model, not a curated record
CUCCAGCGUCUGCAGUCCUCAGUUUAUCCACCUAAAUACAGUACAGUACCCUGGAAGUGAGAUAAGCACAACAUCGGGUCUGUUCCCACCAGAUGGCAACAUUAGUUACAAGCUCCGGGCAAUCUUCGCAUGACUCCGUAAAAUUACAGUUGUAUACUCCAUUCUGGGCACUUUGUUUAUGCAAAAAGGAGUGAAUUUCUGAGACCGCAGAGAUGCGUAUGAAUACAAGAGCAUUAUUACUGGAAAUUCCCAAUUACAAUUUUACAAAAGAGAGGGGAAAAAAAGCAAAAGAUUCUAUUCUGAGUUGAUGUUUUGGGAGGCUUGUCCACACGUCAUGGUUAGGUAGCCACUUGAUUGGGUGUCUGUGUAUAAAAGCCAGGUCCGCUCGGAUCGCUGUUUAGUUCAUUAUCCGAAGUGGAUUUCUGUGUGUGCGAUUGAGGAAAAAAAACGUGAAAGGCAGAGAAGCGAAGAGGAAACACAGGCGCGCACACACACACGGGGAUAUAUUUUGACGAAAAAUGCAAAGCUGUGCGAAAUCCUGGGGGCUCCUGGUCGGUUCAGUGGGUUUGUGGUCCACCUGCCCGAAAGUUAGGGGUUCUGCCCGGGGCAGCUUGGCGAUUUGCAGACCCAGACCCUGGGGCAAACCCGAGCAACGGAGCGGCUGCAGCGUGCGAUCCCUGGGCUCCAGACCUCCCCAUUCCGCCGGUAGCAGCAGGUUGAUAGACAGAAUCUUGCCCAGGCACGAUGACUUCUCAGAGAGGCACAUUGGACCAGGAGACAAAGAGAAAAGAGAAAUGCUGGACACUCUGGGACUGGCGUCUAUUGAUGAACUUAUUGACAAGACUGUCCCUGCCAGCAUCCGUCUCACUCGACCCCUGAAAAUGGACGAUCCCGUGUGUGAAAAUGAAAUCCUUGCCAGUCUACACAAGAUUGCAAGCAAGAAUAAAAUCUGGAGGUCUUACAUUGGAAUGGGUUAUUACAACUGCUCAGUACCACAAGCAAUUCUCCGCAACUUGCUGGAAAAUUCAGGAUGGGUUACACAGUAUACCCCGUAUCAGCCUGAAGUUUCCCAGGGCAGGUUGGAAAGUUUGCUCAACUAUCAGACAAUGGUGUGUGACCUCACUAGCAUGGAUGUGGCCAAUGCCUCUUUACUGGAUGAAGGAACAGCUGCCGCCGAAGCAAUGCAGCUGUGCCAUAGACACAAUAAGCGAAGAAAAUUCUUUGUGGACGCUCGUUGUCAUCCUCAGACAAUAGCUGUUGUGCAGACAAGAGCAAAUUACAUAGGAGUUACAACAGAGUUGAAGUUGCCCCAUGAGAUGGAUUUCAGCAGGAAAGAUAUCAGUGGUGUGCUGUUCCAGUAUCCCGAUAGUGAGGGAAGAGUUGAAGACUUUGCUGAACUUGUUGACCUCGCACAUCAAAACGGAGCCUUGACAUGUUGUGCGACCGACCUGUUGGCAUUGUGUGUGCUGAGACCUCCUGGAGAAUUUGCAGUUGAUAUCGUGCUUGGUAGCUCACAGAGGUUUGGUGUGCCACUUUCCUACGGAGGGCCACAUGCUGCUUUCUUUGCCGUCAAAGAAAACCUUGUAAGACUGAUGCCGGGAAGAAUGGUCGGAGUUACAAGGGACGCUGCAGGAAAGGAGGUGUAUCGUCUUGCGCUACAGACGAGAGAACAGCAUAUCAGGAGGGAUAAAGCUACCAGCAACAUUUGCACAGCUCAGGCACUUUUGGCCAACAUGGCUGCAAUGUUUGCUAUUUAUCAUGGCCCGAAUGGACUGAAACACAUAGCAAAGCGUGUGCACAACGCUAUUUUAAUUUUAGCUGAAGGUUUAAAACGUGCUGGGCAUAAGGUACAGCACGAAUUAUUUUUUGACACUUUGAAGAUCCACUGUGGUGUGGCUACCCAGGAGAUCGUUCACAGGGGUGCCCAACGGCAGAUUAACCUUCGAGAAUAUGGUAACUGUAUGUUGGGAGUGUCCCUGGAUGAAACAGUGACUGAGAGAGACUUGGAUGAUCUCCUCUGGGUGUUUGGCUGUGAAUCAUCAGCUGAGCUAAUAGCUGAGAGCAUGGGAGAUGAACCAAAGGGUAUCUUGGCUACACCGUUUAAGAGGACAAGCAAAUUCCUUACACAUCCAGUCUUCAACAGUUAUCACUCAGAAACGAAUAUUGUCCGGUACAUGAAGAAGUUAGAAAAUAAAGAUAUUUCUCUGGUUCACAGCAUGAUUCCACUGGGAUCUUGCACGAUGAAGUUGAAUAGUUCCUCAGAACUCACGCCCAUUACUUGGCUAGAAUUUGGGAAUGUGCACCCUUUUGUACCUCUGGAUCAGGCGCAAGGAUACCAGCAGUUAUUCCAGGAACUGGAGCGGGACUUGUGUGAAAUCACUGGAUACGACAAAAUUUCUUUCCAGCCAAAUAGUGGCGCACAAGGCGAAUAUGCUGGAUUAGCAGCAAUUAAGGCUUAUUUAAGUUCAAAAGGAGAGAACCAGAGAACUGUCUGUCUGAUCCCAAGAUCAGCUCAUGGCACUAAUCCAGCCAGUGCACAAAUGGCAGGCAUGAAAAUCCAACCAGUUGAAGUGGACAAGAAUGGAAGCAUAGAUGUUGCACAUUUAAAAGCUAUGGUUGACAAGUAUAAGGAUAACCUGGCUGCCAUAAUGAUCACCUAUCCAUCUACUUACGGUGUGUUUGAGGAGAACAUUAGUGAUGUGUGUGAGCUAAUCCACAAUCACGGGGGACAAGUUUACCUGGAUGGAGCAAACAUGAAUGCACAGGUGGGCCUCUGUCGUCCUGGUGAUUAUGGAUCUGAUGUGUCUCAUUUAAACCUGCAUAAAACCUUCUGUAUUCCUCACGGAGGAGGAGGACCUGGCAUGGGACCAAUUGGAGUGAAGAAACACCUUGCUCCAUACUUGCCCAGUCAUCCAGUGAUCCCUCCAGUGUCCGAUAGUGAUGCUCGUCCUUUGGGUACGAUCAGUGCUGCCCCUUGGGGCUCUAGUGCCAUCCUGCCAAUCUCCCUGGCCUACAUUAAGUUGAUGGGAUCAAACGGACUUCAGCAUGCUUCUGAGAUUGCCAUUCUAAAUGCAAACUACAUGGCCAAGCGGCUGGAAGCUUUCUACAAAAUUGUUUUCAGGGGAGCAAAGGGGUCAGGGAUCAUGUCUUUCUGUGUUUGGCAAUAGAAUCCACGCCAUUGGAGGUGAGCUGCUACUGGAGUACUGCCCUCCUGAAAGGUGAGCCAAUAAGAAAGGUGGGUUGAGCCUACUGGAAUGAGAUCCAUCUAUGAUGGCUUCUAGUUGAUUUCUUGUUCUGGGUAUGUUCAGUCAAAACAGGGAAGCACAGUUAAUUCAAUGAUUGUGCCUCCUUUGCUCAACCGGGAUGAUGUUGCUGUAAUAGCGAUGGUCUUAAUUUGUCUCUACUGUUUAAAUAAAAGAAACUUGUUUUAGUAAAUGAAAUGAAACUUAGAGACAGUAAAAAGAGUCAUUAGGUCCUCCUUCCCACUGUAGAUGACUCGCGGUACACUGAUCUGUAUUAUAUUAGACUCGAUUGUUUGUGAUUAGGUUUGGCACAGCAGCACUUUACUUUCCUGAGAAUAGCAGGCCCAGUCUAUUGGCCUGCUAGAUAAUAGAUGUAUAGGUGAGGUAAGCAGAUUAUGCAACACAUAAAAAACAGAUUUUUCUGCGUUAAUUUGUGACUGUGCAAGUAUACUUAAGUGUAUGUAAUGAAAUGAUUCAUUUAACCAAAUGUGUCCAGUUUGUUUUCCUGCACUCAGUCAUGAGAGCAGAGUGACAAGCAGGAUCAAACUUUGAGGAAAAGUUUCUGGAUUCUCUUAGUGUUAUUAUCAAGGAACUUUGAUGUUUUUCAUCAUUACUUUGUUUGUCUAUAUUGUAUGUUAUUUUAAAUUGUAAUCAAUUAAGCUGAAUUAAAUUAAUUCAACUAAAUUGACAACCCAUUGAGGGGCUCAGUAACGAAUGGCCAAAUCAUAAAUUACACUUGCUAACUUUAAGUGAAAAUGUGGUUUUUCAGUGGGAGAUGAUGCACUCUAAUCGCGGAAGACUGUACUUGAUAAACAAAUUUAUAACGUAAUUGUAUUAAUUGUGUUCAUAUGAAGAAGAUUCUCACCAACGUGGUGUAUGUGUGUGUGUAUAUAUAUUAUGUAUCUGUUAUUGUGAGUGUGGAUAUGUGUGUAGGUGGUCUGAAUGUACCGGUGUUAAUUGCCUAAUUAAGAGCCUCAAUUGGCAGUGGGGUGCGAUCAUCUAAUCAAGGCAGAGGCAGGAAGGCAGUGUGGUCCUACCUGCCAUCCUCCAGGCUAAUUAAAUGCCCCCUUUCUUCCUCCAAACCAGUCAUUAGAAGGGGAUUAAAUUGAUUGUGUAAUCAUUGCACUUCAAGAAAAUCAUGACACUUGUAUCAGCACUAUUUAACUAUUGUGUCAGUGAGUGAACUCUGUUGCUGUUUAUAAUGCUCUUGAUUCAUCACCGCCACCAGUGAGAGAUGUAACAACCAUCAGUACGUCAACACCAUUGGCAGCAAUAUUUAUUCACGGCUGUGGAGCCAGCAAGGGCAGAACUUUCGACUGGGAAAUCAAGACUCACGGGUUUGUUGAAUGUCCUGCAGAAGUGAACUGCAGGACUUCUCUUACGUUUUCUCCACAGCUUUCCUGCCCACUAGCCAGCUUCGUUGAGAGGCUGACUGCCCAUUGGUCGAGACAGUAGCAGGGCAGCUGAUCCCAGGUAAGUAAGAGAUCACUGUGAUGGGGAAGGAAGGUUGGAGGGGCGGGAGGGUAAAUUGUGUAAGAAGUCCAGAGACUGGCAGAGGUGAAUGCUUGGAAAUUGCAGAUAUGCGAGAGGACUGGGACGAGUCUUAAGAUUGGGUUUGCACACUCAGACAUCAUAGGGUUUAGGGAAGCAGGGGACUGGGGACAAGCUCUUGCAAGGGUGGAGGAAGUCUGACCACUGAGCUGGGUGAGCUCUCUAAGCUUGUGGUGAAGUAGAAGAUUGUUGAUGCCAUAGAUGUGGAGCUCCAGGAAGUCAGAGAUCCCAUUGAGUGAGCACACAAAGUUAACAAGAGGCGAAUCUUAAAAUUGGAAUGCUGUGGGGAGGCAAUAUAUCUGCUUUUUUUUGAGCCACAAGCAGCACUAUUCUUGUGUUUCAUUGAGAGAAUGCACUGAAAAGUAACCCAACUACUCCCAAGAGUCAUCACAAAAGUUAAAGAUUAUAAAAUAAGUAUACAAAGAUUUCACAGUUUACUAGAUUAUCAGACCCGGGCUGAUAGAAGAUCUGCACCAAGCUUCUGUACCACCAAGAAUUAUUAUUUAUUACAAGUAAUUAAAUGCUAUUUACAGGUAAACUGUUAUAAACUAAAGGUAAGUAACACUAGUAAUUAAAACUUUAAACCCCUUAUAAAUUUCCCUUAUUUGCACAAGCGUACACACCAUCAGACAGACAGAGAAAGAAAAGCAUUAAUGGGAGAAACUGGGGAAGCAGUUCAGUGACCUUUGUUCACCAGACCUGUUGAGCUGAUUCUUGCUGACAAAAGGUUUCUUCUUUCUUUUCCUUUUCCAAAUCCUUCCACGGAUUUGCAAGAGGCAAAGGGUGGCUGAUUGGCUUAUAAAGGUCCCUGACUUAUCAAUUAGAGGUCACAGUUUACAGCAACUGUUUCUUCAGAUUUAAAGUGCACUUGAGUUCAGAGAACAGAGAGAGAGGCAGUUAAACAAAGACCUGAGGAUACUGGAAGUCUGAAACAAAAACAGAAAUUGCUGGAGAAACUCAGCAGGUCCAGUAGUGUUUGUGAAGAGAAAGCAGUGUUAAUAUUUCAGUUCCCAUGACCCUUCCUCACAGCAGUUGUUUUCAUAGCUGAGGCCCUUUAAUUUGCGAUGCACAAGGCUUGAUUAAUCCAGAAAGUAUGUGGCUGAAGUUCAUUUCACCUUUUUACUGCAAUAAUUCAUGCUGGAGGUUUUUUUGUGGUUUGGGAAACGUGUCAAUGUAAUUUAACUUGGAUUAUAAUGUCGUUUUAUGGGCUCUUUCUCAGGUUUCUCAAUGUAGCACUCAGAGUUUGAUUACACGUGCCCCUUGUUCUCAUUCUGUACCACUUUUGAUCCUCGUUCUGUGAACAGUUUUCAAGUACUUUUCUGUCCAUUUUAAUCUAAAGUUGAAAUUAUGUCGUCCCCUAGUUUACGCUGUUUCGUGACCUUGAUGGCAAGAAUUUGAACUCGGUACUCAGUCUCAAUGUGGAUUGUGACCCUCUGAGCUAUUUAGUUGGCAAAGUGUGUUGGUUUAUCGUGUGUGCACUUUCAUUCUGUAUUAGUUUUAAAAUUUGUUUUUGCUGGGCUUUGUGUAAAACGCUCAUUAUGGAUAAAUGUGCCUGUGGAGCAAAACAUUAAAUAUGCAGCAGAACCAUUUUGUGAGAAGUUAGUUUCACUCAUUGGAAGGUAUCAUAUGCUGACUUGCUUUUGUCAGUAGUCAUUGAGGGAUUAGGUUAUAUUAUCUUCUUGUCUCUAUUUUGACUACCGUGCAUAAAAAAAUCUGCAAUGAUGUAUGUUCCACUGAAGUAAAGCCACCUUUUGGAGAAUUUUUGGCUGUCUGUUAUUUACUGUGUUUCUUAGAAAGUCCUAAGCAUUUUCCUGCUGACUGUAUUUUUCACUGCUCCCACCCAGAGAGAGAGAGCGAUGUUUGUACGUCACUACAUCAUUAUCACCUUUUAGCUAGUCCCAUAACUCCCAACUUGUUUUGUUUAAAAACUCAAUUACAUGAGGAUGACAAGCUGCACGCGUUUUAAGUAUUCGCUGGUGGUUUACUACAUAGACACGUAGAAUGAGCGAGUUGAGUUCUGAGGAAAGAUUGGAAAGGCUGGGCUUUAGAAGAGUGAAGAGUGACUUGACUAAAGUGUGAAAGAUCCUAACUGGUCUUGACAACAUGGCUGUAGAACAGACCUUUCCUGUGAAUGCAACUUAUUCAUCUAUAGUGUUUGAUACAUGGUUUUAUUGAAUUUUGUGCAUGGCCGCUGAAGCAACUCAUUUGAAACCCUAGUUCUUUGUAAUCUCAUGAGUCAAAUAUUUCUGUGCUGUCUUUGUCAGCUUCCCAUCUUCCACCAGGUGUGAACUGAUAUUCAUCCAAAUGUCGGCUCCCACAUCUAAACUCCCAUCAAGUGCCAUUCACUCAUCACUAUUACACUCACUGACCUAUUUUGGCUCCUGGUCUGGCAUUGUCAAUUUUAUAAAUCUUAGCCUUGUUUUAAAAAUCCCAGUAUAGCCUUUCCUCCUGCCUAUCUCUAUACUCUCUCCUCCAGCCAAACAAAUCUUGGAGACCACACUGCUCCUCCAGUUGUGGUCACUUGCACAUUCCUGAUCUUACUGACUCCUUCAUUUGAGGUUGUGUUUUCAAUUAUCUGCUACUGUCUUUCUUAAUACCUCUUCCUGUUGCUGUGUGUCACAUUGUGCUCAAUAGUCCUCUUUUGCAGGGACGGAGCAGGUAUGUUCGGUUUGCUAGAUGGUUGGCGUCUGGAUCAGAUUAACACCACAACACUGUUAGAACCUUGUUCCUGUUGAGGUAGACUCACUGCCUGCUUUCAUCACCCUACCCACAGUAAACAAAAAGUAUUGGUCAGCAAAUAAUUGCAGAGGACCUGACCCUGGGCAGAGAUCUCAAGAUGAAGAAUAUUCUUGCAAAGCAUCUUGAGAUGUUUUACUGUGUUGAAGGGCUGUGUAAGUGCAAGUUUUUGAUGUUAGUAGAUGAUUUGAGAAUCCUUCCCAGAGGUGUUUUGUCAAGAAGAUCAAUUCCACCUCCCCUGUGUUCACGUUGUAAUAAUGAAGUCACUCCACUUGCCAGAUUUGGAGAGAAAGUCCUGUUUCUCUGAAGUUCAAAUCUGAGCUUCAAUUAUGAACAAGAUCAAAUAGAAGACCAAAUCUGGCAACACAUUACAGUUAAAGUCUUAAAAGAAAAUACAGUUAAUUUGAACCAUCACUGAUGGAUGCUUCCAUCUAUUGUAAUUUUCUUAAAAACAAAAAAAAACAAAGCGAUUGUGUGGAUUUUUGGUUAUGAUAUUAAAUUAAAUCCAUCUGUUUGCGGUAUCCCAAUAAUUGUAUUUUGUUUACGAUCUUUACUCAGUGAAGGUCAUGCAACAAAUUCCAUUCUGGUUCAUUUGGGAACAGCGGGCACCUGUCUUCAUAUGGAGAGAAACCUGUAGGAGAGCAUCUGGUAUCAAGAAUACCUGGAAAAUCAGGUUACGUGGCUCACGAGUUCAUCUUGGAUGUGCGGCCAUUCAAGAAAACAGCUAACAUCGAAGCAGUAGAUGUUGCCAAGAGGCUUCAAGAUUAUGGAUUCCAUGCCCCAACUAUGUCCUGGCCUGUUUCGGGUACGUUG